GCGUCCUUAGCUCAGCCGGAUAGAGAACCAGACUACGAACCAGGCGGUCGGAGGUUCGAAUCCUCCAGGACGCGCCA
This 77-nucleotide transfer RNA is filed under the name Vibrio anguillarum. Its description in RNAcentral is "tRNA-Arg". It matches the Rfam family "tRNA". From Rfam's summary of the family: Transfer RNA (tRNA) molecules are approximately 80 nucleotides in length. Their secondary structure includes four short double-helical elements and three loops (D, anti-codon, and T loops). Lineage: Bacteria; Pseudomonadati; Pseudomonadota; Gammaproteobacteria; Vibrionales; Vibrionaceae. The record is from RNAcentral.